AUUGAACGCUGGCGGCAUGCCUUACACAUGCAAGUCGAACGGCAGCACGGGUGCUUGCACCUGGUGGAGAGUGGCGAACGGGUGAGUAAUACAUCGGAACGUACCUUAUCGUGGGGGAUACCGCAGCGAAAGCUGCGCUAAUACCGCAUACGCCCUGAGGGGGAAAGCGGGGGAUAUCAAGACCUCGCGCGAUUAGAGCGGCCGAUGCCUGAUUAGCUAGUUGGUGGGGUAAAAGCCCACCAAGGCGACGAUCAGUCGCUGGUCUGAGAGGACGAUCAGCCACACUGGGACUGAGACACGGCCCAGACUCCUACGGGAGGCAGCAGUGGGAAAUUUUGGACAAUGGGGGCAACCCUGAUCCAGCAAUGCCGCGUGAGUGAAGAAGGCCUUCGGGUUGUAAAGCUCUUUUGUCAGGGAAGAAACACCGGCUCUAACACAGUCCGGGAAUGACGGUACCUGAAGAAUAAGCACCGGCUAACUACGUGCCAGCCGCCGCCGUAA
Molecule: ribosomal RNA, 501 nt
Filed under: uncultured bacterium
Lineage: Bacteria
Description: partial 16S ribosomal RNA
Rfam family: Bacterial small subunit ribosomal RNA
Source: RNAcentral